CCCAACUUGCGUCUAUUGCCCUUGCCAACAUCACCUGCUGUAACCCUGCCAUCUAUUGAACACAGGCCCAGAGGUCGUCGUUUAUUUUCUGUAGUAGUAGAUGACUUUACUCAGUUGUCUAAACAGUACAUUCGAAAUAAUAUGGCUACGAGCAACAAACUGUGCUACACAUCUGAACAGAUUCUUCCUGUAGCGCCAUUACUGACGGCAAAACAAUUGUUAGAGUUGCCUGGAAGGAGAAGUUUGACAAUGAGCAAGAAACUGAUGGCUUUAUGGAAAAGCAAAGCGGUUCCAAAUGUGUCAGCUAAAAGCAUUGUAAGUUAUCAAACAGUAAGACGAGACAAAGAAACAUCUAGUGCAACAGAGUCUCUGUCUUCACAGGUAAGUGUCCUCACCAUAAUUUAAUGAUUUUCAAUGCAUGU
This is a long non-coding RNA of Patiria miniata (bat star), 422 nucleotides long. RefSeq lists it as uncharacterized. The transcript is spliced from 3 exons. NCBI's taxonomy places the organism in Eukaryota, Metazoa, Echinodermata, Asteroidea, Valvatida, Asterinidae. The record is from RefSeq and is a predicted model, not a curated record.